UCUUUGUACAAUGGUUGCACGUUACUU
Molecule: non-coding RNA, 27 nt
Filed under: Homo sapiens (human)
Lineage: Eukaryota; Metazoa; Chordata; Mammalia; Primates; Hominidae
Source: RNAcentral